This 253-nucleotide ribosomal RNA is filed under the name uncultured bacterium. Its description in RNAcentral is "partial 16S ribosomal RNA". It matches the Rfam family "Bacterial small subunit ribosomal RNA", at positions 524 to 776 of the family's 1533-position model. The record is from RNAcentral.
UACGGAGGGGGUUAGCGUUGUUCGGAAUUACUGGGCGUAAAGCGCGCGUAGGCGGAUUAGAAAGUUGGGGGUGAAAUCCCGGGGCUCAACCUCGGAACUGCCUCCAAAACUGCUAGUCUAGAGUUCGAGAGAGGUGAGNGGAAUUCCGAGUGUAGAGGUGAAAUUCGUAGAUAUUCGGAGGAACACCAGUGGCGAAGGCGGCUCACUGGCUCGAUACUGACGCUGAGGUGCGAAAGUGUGGGGAGCAAACAGG